This is a long non-coding RNA of Sitophilus oryzae (rice weevil), 568 nucleotides long. RefSeq lists it as uncharacterized. The record is from RefSeq and is a predicted model, not a curated record. Lineage: Eukaryota; Metazoa; Arthropoda; Insecta; Coleoptera; Curculionidae. The transcript has 3 exons.
AUGGAUAAAAAUAAACUAAAUGAGUUUAUAUAUCUGCUGGUUAAAUUAAAAUAUACAGAUAUGUAAUAGACAUUGGUAAUAAUACAGUAAUGAAAGCUUCUUAUGGAAGAUAAGAAUGAAGAAUACAUCAAGAAAAAUGGAAAGAAAUGAGAUUCUCUUUAGGGAAGAAGUUAACUUGAGCAGAAUUUCAUAAGAAAACCUCACCAAUUGUACUCUUCUCUGCUUUCUGUGUACCAAAAAAGAGUAAAGCUGGAGCAACAAGAUUGGAGGAAUUCUGUUGAAACAACAUAUCCGCUGCUUUUAAAUAUUUCCUUUAAAUUAGUACAACUACUUCUUCAGAAAAUUAAACUAUUAUGCUGUAUCAUUGUAAUGGUCCUUCUAUACUGUUAGAUAUGUAUUAUUGUUAUGACGAGAUGCAGUGGUAAAAGAGGUACGCCCAAGUUAUUGGAAAUAUGAACAUCCGGAUACAUCAGAAGAAAAAUUGUAUGGAAAAAUCAAGGAGCGAUCCAAGGACUUAUGCUAUUUGGGCUGUAUGCUGUAUAUGUCUAACAAUAAAUUUAUAAUGUAU